Molecule: ribosomal RNA, 202 nt
Filed under: uncultured bacterium
Lineage: Bacteria
Description: partial 16S ribosomal RNA
Rfam family: Bacterial small subunit ribosomal RNA
Source: RNAcentral
CGAUGGCGGGGGAGUAACUACUGGAAACGGUAGCUAAUACCGCAUAAUGUCUACGGACCAAAGCGGGGGACCUCCGGGCCUCGCGCCAUCAGAUGAACCCAUAUGGGAUUAGCUAGUAGGUAAGGUAACGGCUUACCUAGGCGACGAUCCCUAGCUGGUCUGAGAGGAUGAUCAGCCACACUGGGACCGAGACACGGCCCAG